This 71-nucleotide transfer RNA is filed under the name Actinopyga echinites. RNAcentral's name for it is "tRNA-Val". The record is from RNAcentral. Lineage: Eukaryota; Metazoa; Echinodermata; Holothuroidea; Aspidochirotida; Holothuriidae.
CAAAAUAUAGCUAAGGAGUAAGCUCCUCUUUUACGCAGAGGAAAAUACCUGUGCAACUCAGGUUGUUUUGA